UGUCAUCCUGUUGGGACUCACCCCAAUAGCCUCUGAGGGGACUGGCAUUACUGGGUGCUGGAAUGGUCUGCCCUGCUCUGUGAAAAGCCUGAGCCACACGAAAGCCGGCUUCCUCUAUCUCCCUCCCUCACAGACGUGGGAAUGACUACAGAAUGAACAACCAUCAAGGAUAAAGGAUGUAUUUGUCAAAGUGAGAGAGAGGUAUGCAGAGAUGGAGCUGACCUGCAGAUGGAUGUCUGGUGAGGCACAGUAUGAACAGCCAUGGAAACAUGUGGUCUAAAACAUGGACGCCUGGAGCUUGCCCUGAUUCUCUUUCAUUGAUCAUCCAGAAAAAGCUUCAAGGGCCCAAACUUUGCUUCUGGGCCUGAGCCUCACGCUCAGCCUGACAGUGCUCCAAAGUGAACUUCCUUGCUCAAUGGAAACAAUUCUUGGCCAUCUCUGCUUCUCCAUC
Molecule: long non-coding RNA, 451 nt
Organism: Marmota flaviventris (yellow-bellied marmot)
Lineage: Eukaryota; Metazoa; Chordata; Mammalia; Rodentia; Sciuridae
Source: RefSeq, a predicted model, not a curated record